Molecule: ribosomal RNA, 462 nt
Filed under: uncultured bacterium
Lineage: Bacteria
Description: partial 16S ribosomal RNA
Rfam family: Bacterial small subunit ribosomal RNA
Source: RNAcentral
GACGAACGCUGGCGGCGUGCUUAACACAUGCAAGUCGAACGGAAAGGCCCUUCGGGUUCUUCGAGUGGGGAAGGGGUGAGUAACACGUGGGUGAUUGGCCCUCCACUUUGGGAUAAGCCUGGGAAAUUGGGCCUAAUACGGAAUAGGCCAACGCGCUUCUGGGGGUGUGGUGGAAAGCUUUUGCGGUGUGGGUUGGGCCCCCGGCCUAUCAGCUUGUUGGUGGGGUAAUGGCUUACCAAGGCGACGACGGGUAGCCGGCCUGAGAGGGUGACCGGCAACACUGGGACUGAGAUACGGCCCAGACUCCUACGGGAGGCAGCAGUGGGGAAUAUUGCACAAUGGGCGCAAGCCUGAUGCAGCGACGCCGCGUGAGGGAUGACGGCCUUCGGGUUGUAAACCUCUUUCAAUAGGGACGAAGCGCAAGUGACGGUACCUAUAGAAGAAGCACCGGCCAACUACGUG